This 75-nucleotide transfer RNA is filed under the name uncultured archaeon. Its description in RNAcentral is "tRNA-Glu(ttc)". It matches the Rfam family "tRNA". From Rfam's summary of the family: Transfer RNA (tRNA) molecules are approximately 80 nucleotides in length. Their secondary structure includes four short double-helical elements and three loops (D, anti-codon, and T loops). The record is from RNAcentral.
GGCGUGUUCGUCUAUCGGUCAGGACGCCGCCCUUUCAAGGCGGUAAGGUGGGUUCGAUUCCCACACACGCUGCCA